CAGCAGCCGCGGGAAUACGGAGGGUGCAAGCGUUAAUCGGAAUUACUGGGCGUAAAGCGCACGCAGGCGGUUUGUUAAGUCAGAUGUGAAAUCCCCGGGCUCAACCUGGGAACUGCAUUUGAAACUGGCAAGCUAGAGUCUUGUAGAGGGGGGUAGAAUUCCAGGUGUAGCGGUGAAAUGCGUAGAGAUCUGGAGGAAUACCGGUGGCGAAGGCGGCCCCCUGGACGAAGACUGACGCUCAGGUGCGAAAGCGUGGGGAGCAAACAGGAUUAGAUACCCGAGUAGUCCCUGUCUCUUAUAC
This 301-nucleotide ribosomal RNA is filed under the name uncultured bacterium. RNAcentral describes it as "partial 16S ribosomal RNA". It matches the Rfam family "Bacterial small subunit ribosomal RNA", at positions 509 to 807 of the family's 1533-position model. The record is from RNAcentral.